UGGGACCACUCUAUCAAUUCUUUUAAAUAUACAAUCCUUAUCUGCUCUAUCAUUCCACCAGGUAAAAGGGAUACCACAUAAAGCAAAAUCUUCAUACUCAUGUGGAUAGACAUGAAGGCAACCAAUUUUCUCUUCUUCCACAUAACAACAUUGAAGUUUCCUCCAACCAUCCAAGGUAGUGAUUGAUUGUAUCCUAUAGAAUAAAUAUCAUCCCACAACCUAAAUCUCUCAACUGUUGUACAUUUAGCAUAGACUAGAGUGACCAAGAAUGGAUUCCCAUUAUUGAAUGACAGAUGUAGUGUUAAUUGUUGUUCUGAAUCUGAAACUACUCCCACAUGAAUCCCAUCCCGAGUAAAUAGCCAAAUUUGACCAUUGGAGUUGUAGUUGACAUACUACAUGCACAUCCUUCUUUUGCAUUUUUGAAUCUUCUUAGUGUCUUGAAAUGGUUCCAUCAAGGAAAUUAGGAAAAAAUUGUGGUGUCUAUGUAACAUUUGAACUUUAUGAAAUGCAUUUUGAGUUCUCACAAUCCUUAUAUUCAAAAAUAAAGCUUUUGAUUCAUUGAGAAACACUCUUCUCCCCCUCUUAGCCUGUAUCCUUGUUGUCUUUGAGUCACUAGCCAUUUUACCUUUCUUUUUGUUCCCUCUGGUCAUUAUCUGAGAUAGCCAACUUCCUUACAAAUAUUGUUCUCCAGUUGCUCACUUUCUUCUUAUUCAACAUCUUCAAUACUUGCCUCAUUAAAAUAUUCCCUGGUUAUGCUCCCUUGAAUGGAUGUCUUACCAUUUUCUUGUAAAAUUUGGUGUGAAAUAAUUGCAUGUAAAGCUUCAUUAGGUGCAAAUCUUCUAUUGCCCAUUGUGAUAGCCUGAACCUUAGCUAGAGCACUUGUUUUUUGCAGGUUGCUCUCCUUCUCAUUUGACUUCACCCAUACCUAUUUGAAGUAUAUUUGUAGGAGGAGAUCUCCUUCCACUGGAACCACUUUUUGGAGGGGCUCUUGAUAGGUAGCGUAUCUCAAAUCUGGUUCAUGUUGUUGGUAUGCCACAAUCUCUUUUCUAUGUGUUCUCAUCGUCUGUAUGCACCUCUUCUUUUUUCUUUACACUUUCACUAGAUUGAUUAUUUCUUACUUAUGUUGCAGAUGUGUCUCCUUGCCUGUUGACAGUAGCCUCAUCUUCUAUUGUGUUCUCUUCAGUAAUUGAUGUAUUCUCACUUUGUUUGUUCCUUUUAUUACCAAUGUCCCCAUCUUUUUUACUAUCCCCUUGUUGCAUCGAUGUAGUAUUACUUGUUCAACAUUCAUUUCCUGCUGAUUAGUAAAAGCUCUCGAUCAAGUCUGUAUUGGAUUCAUUACUUUUUUGUUGAUCAUCUGCAUUAUUUGUCUAAAGAACUUGAUUCUCUUUCUCAAUAUGUUGUUUGUCCAUUUUCUGGUUAUCUCCCUCCCUUGAUUCAAUCUGGUGUUCCUCAUCAAUAUCUGUUAAAGCAACAAAGGCAUUCCCACCGUAAGUUUUGCUGGAAGUACUAGCCUUGUCACUUAUGCCAACACCUUUGUUCAUUGUAAAAGCUCUAUUUGUAGGUUCCAGUAUCUUCUGACGAUUCUUCUCCUCCCUUUUCUUAUGUCCUCUUAUUUAUUCUUGUUCUUCAUGUAGUAUUUCAUUACCCUUUGACUGCCCCUUUUCCUCACCAUUAUCGAUCCUUAGCUCUGGAUGUAAGUUUCCACAUUCCUCCUCAUCAUGUCCUUGAACCUUAUAAUGUUUAUAAUAUUUAGACAACAGUUCUUACCGAAUCUUCACUUGCUCUAUCCUUGACACCUUAGUAUCUUCAUUCAUAAUCUCAUUUUCAACAAACUUUGGGAAAUUCGACAUAAGAUGUACCAGAAUUUUAACUCGUGCAGAACUUGAUUUUGUUUUAUUUAUUGUGGCCAUAUCUAAAUAUAAUGGCUUUCCAACUGCUGUUGCCAAAGAUAAUAGAGAUUCCUUCACAAAAAGGUGGGUUUGAGAUCCGGAAAGGAUAUCCAAGUCAAAGCCUGCAUAGUUUCUUCUGCAACCAGAAAUUUUUCAUCAUAAAUAAGAGGCUUUGGGGAAUAUAAAUAUUCGUCCUUAGCCAAUAUGUAUUAUAUUGGACAUUACAUUAAUGAAGUUUUCUUCCUGAUCAAGUCUGAUGAGGACAUGUCUAUUGCAUAAUAGACCUAUCUUACAAUCUCAUUUGAUGUUGCAUUGUUUUUGAAUAAGCAUCCUAAGUUCCUCCAGCUCCGGCCAAUCAUAUGAAAAUUUUCUAACUAUUGCGUCUUGGAGAUUCUCAAUGAUGUUCGUUCUCUUCACUUUACUCUUCGUCCAUAUCAAUCAAGGAAUUUCAUUUGUAUAAGUGAUUGUCUUUAUAGGAAUUGGUUCUACUUUUUUUGUCGAACAGCUGAACGGUUCCCUAAGAACAUUGACAUAAUUCACUUGGAACAUAUUACUGUUAUUGCCAGGCAAAACAAUAGCAGUAGGCUCAAUAGGCAAAUUAGGGUUCACAAUAUCAGUCUUAGUGCUUGUCGAUAGUGGUGGAAUAUGAAGCUUCUUGUAGCAGCAACGACUGGUCAACCCCAAGACUAGGCUGACUAGUGGCCGGAAUAGCCAUUGUAUUGAUUUAAGGUCGAAAAAAGUCACUGGCGACGGUAAGGAGUAUAGACAGUGUUUUUUCAUAAUCAUUGUAAAUGCAAUGUAUCAUUUCCGUUUCUAAAAAAAAAUUGCUACAACCUCUACUUGUUGAGGCAUAAACUUAUUAUUUUGUAUUGGAUACACAAUAGUUAUUAUUUAUUUUUUUUAAAAUUAGUUUAAAAUAAAAAUUGUAUUUCAACAAAAUUUAAUAAAAUAACUAAAAUUGAUGUCUUGUUGUUUUUUUAAAAUAAUCUAAAACAAAAGAAUAUUUCAAAAAAAAUUAAUAAAAUAAUUAAAACGGGUAUCUUAUUAUUUUUUUAAAUUAGUUAAAAAGAAAAAUUAUGUUUCAACAAAAUUUAAUAAAAUAAUAAAAUGAGCAUCUUAUUAUUUUCUAAAAAAUUAGUUUAAAACAAAAAUUGUAUUUGAAUAAUAUUUAUUGAAAAAUUAUUAAAAUUGGUGGAGUGACUUUCUAAAUGAAAUAUUAAUAGUUGUGACUUUAUAGAGAAAAUAUUCAUAGUUGAGUGACUAUGAGAUUAUAAGUGAAAGUUGAGUGACUUUCAGGGAAAAGAAUCAUUAUUUGAGUGAUUUUCUACGAGAAAAAUUCUUAGUUGAAUAACUUUGAAGUUAUAAAAGAAAGCUCAAUGACUUUCUGUGAAAAGAAUUAUUAGUUGAGUGACCAUAUGAGGUAUUAACUCCAAAAUACUGCAUACAUCGUCAACAAUACAUGGUCAGAUUUACAUCCCGGAGAUUAAUUGGACCUUAAUGUUACUAUGCCUGGAUGUUACUAUUGGUUUUCGAGACACCAAACGGAUGGGAAAUGUUGCAGGUAUGGAUAUGAGCUUAUUUUAAAAUGUCUAUGUUGAUUCAACUUCAUUACUGACCCUCAUCCCAAAAUUUUCUCUUUGCAUCAGGUUUGAGAAUCAUAACUGUCAUACUGGUUACCACACUUUCUUGAUUUCAUUGGUAAUUGUUUUAUGUUGACACCAAAGUGUUUUCCUUGCAAUUUUCUUUGUGAGCUUCUUUGGGUCAGUUGAGGCUUUAUAUUUCUCCACUUCUUUGAUUAAAUUUUUGGAAGGAGCUUGGGAAACAACAGCCAUGGCAAUAAGGUCUCUGUUGACAGGCUACUUCAUCAGCUAGGCCCUAGUCUAGACAUAGUAAGGGUCCGCGACAGAGGCAGACUCACCCCUCUAGCUGGGGUGCAUGUGCACCCAUUAAAUUCGAAAAAAAUCAUGUAUAUAUAUGUAUAUCUAUCUUGAGAAACUGACAGAAAUUAGAAUAUAAUUAAUAGUGCACCCAUAAAAAGCAUAGAAGUGACAUUGUGCUACUGAUACAAGCUAGAGGAUCCACCUAUGAGACCUGGGUUCAAAUCCAACUAAAGUGUUUAUUUCACUGUUUUUGUUUUAAGUUUAUCUUAGAGUUCAUAUUUGAGCUAAGAUAAUAUGGGUGCACCCAAAGUUUUCAAAUCCUGAAUAAUAUACAUGCAAUUGCUUAUCUAUAUUACCUUAAAAGUAUGAACUCCUAACUUUAAUGUUAAAUUACUAUAAUAUCUCUAACUUAGGUAAUGACUUUUUUGAUGAGUUGUGACUUUUUCGAUAAGUUUUGACUUUUUUCAAAGGGUUGUGAUUUUUCGAUGAGUUGUGACUUUUCCCAAGAUUUGUAACGUUUUCAAUAAGUUGUGACUUUUUCAAAGGGUUGUGACUUCCUGAAAAGGUCAUGACUUUUUCAGAUAAGACACAAAAAAAUAUGUGUUCAUACUACCCUUUGUUGACUAUAAAUAGAGGGGCUUCCUCUCAUUUUUCAACCACAAUAUUUUUAAUCUUCUACUCUUCUUCUUCUUGCAUUUUGAAAUUUCUUAUGUGAUUUAUUGUCGUUGAGUGAGUUCGAAGUUUAGCGGAUAUGAGGUACCAAUGUUUUGAUGAAGUAAGUCGUUCUAUCCUAAGAGAGUAUAUACCAUAACCUCGAGUACUUGAGGAAAAUAAUUUUGAUGAUAUAAUAAUUAUUUUUUGCUUCAUAUAUACAUUAGUAUGUAAUGUUCCAAUAUAUGAUGUUAACAUGAUGUAGUCUAAAUUCUUUUUUUUCCAACAAUUUCUCUUGUGAUGUAGACAUAUGUUUCUAAAUAUCUUUUCCAAAAUUUAGAAAAUUGUCACGAUUUAUUUUUGAUGCUCAAGACAAAAGAACGACUUUAUUUAUCAAUGCUACUUAUGUGAUUUAAACUCUCAUGGAGUUUGAUUCAAAAUAGUAAGCCCUUUUGUUUUACUUAUUUACUAUUUCUUAAUAUUUUGGUAUUUUAGACGAAGAAAAGUUCAUAUGACUUGUAAUAACACCAGUUGAAGUUUGUAUUAGUUUAAUUUUUAUUAUUGAUUUAAUAGUUAAUUUAUGAGAUAAAUAUUUUUAUUAAUGCAAAUAUAUAUUUAUAUUUGGGUAGAUAUUUGUACUUAAACUAAAGUAUUAUAUAUGUCACAAAUGUAUUAUCAAGUUAACAAAAUCUUCUAACUUCAAAAUAUAUUAUUUUAAAAUGUUCCGCAUUUUUUUUAAUCAAAAACUCAGAACCAAUGUGAAAAUAUGUGAAUAUAUAAAAUGUAGUUGUUCUCUUCACAUGUCCAUAUGACAUCUAAAGAAUUUAACAUGGAAUACACAUGCAAAGCAAAUCUGGUUACAUGACAAGAAAAAUACAAAGCAAAUAUUGUCUAUAAGGUAAUAUUAGUGAGAUAAGACUAAUUAGAUGAUUUACCUCAUCAAAUUGAAAUAAAUGUAUACAUUAUUGCAUUUAACUAAUAAAUUUUUUCUUUGACCAUCUUCACAGGUCAGCGUGAAUAAGAAAUAUAUAUGACGAUCCACGUUAAACAUUCACAAAAGAAUCUUCAAUAUUAUUUUUUGCUAAGCUUAUUAUUCAAAUCUUCGCUUAAAUAAGCAAAUACUAUUUACUAUGUCAUAUAUUUUUGGAAUUGGUAAUCACGUGCAACGCACGUGUCAAAAAACUAGUUUGUAUAUAUGCAUCAAUUGCCUAUAUACAAAAAGUUGUCAAUUGCCUUUAUACGAAUAGUUAUCUACCAUUUAUCAAUUGUAUAUCUUAUACGAUUGAAUCUGUUAAUGAUAUUUACAUACAUUUUAAUUUGAAUAUCAGAUGAUAUAUGUGAUUGUACUUUUUAGAAAUAAUAUACAAUUGUUUAUUUGUAUAUAUGCAUCAGUUGCAUAUACACUAAUAGUUCUCUAGCAUUUAUCGUUUGUAUAUUUUUAUACAUAUAAGAUUCCGUACUUUUUUCUUUAUUCUUGCAUAAUAUAUGUGGCGUAGUAUGGCAUGGUUAUAUGAGGUGUAUAUGACUUGGUAUCAUACAUUGGAGAUUAAGAUUGCAAAUGGUUGGCAAUAUAAAGGAACUAAACUAAAGUUUUAGGUCAAAGGGACCCCUCAAACAAAAGUUCAGGAUUAAAAGAAAUGGCUCGGGUAGAACUUCGCCCGUUUGAAAGGUUUAAAUUAUCUCAUACCUUGGGGAUAAGCCUAUGAGUGUCUAACAUGCUAAGAAUAAUGUGUUAUGAGGUAUUAUAAUAGCAUAAGGGUCGUAUGUUAAGUUUUUAAGUCAAGAAAAUUAACGCAACUAAGGUCGGCACAACUUAUCGAAGUUUCUCUAAUAACAUUUUCUUAACUUUGGGUCAAAUGUCUUUGAUGUUUUCUCCCAAUAUAUAGAGAGUUAGAAGGCCCAUGACCUAUCCAAUCGAAGGUCUACGAGUCUAGGUUGCAACGCACAACACCCCAUAUCCAACCGAUAUUGGAGUAAAACAUUAUUAGGGUUUGACUGCGGAUUGCUGGGGCAGAAUCCAGGUCGGGUCAAAAAUAUGGUAUGUCGGCUUACUCGACAUUUUAAGCCAUGAAAACAUUUCGUUUUACUCCCUAACCAGAAAGAAAGAUGAAGAGAGUGUUCUAUGGAGUUCUUGCAUGAUGAAGGCUUGUUUUUUAUGAUUUCUACCAUUAAAGGUUGUCCCGGUGCCUAGAAACAUGAUCUCUACACGUGGCAAUCGUUCUCCCUUCUAUUAGCUGCAUUUGGAGUUAGUUUUUGAAGAUAUAAAUUGGUAGUUAUUGGUUUUUCUUCAAGUUUUACACUUGGUUUGCUAAGGUAAUCAUCUCGGUACUCUUUUAUAAUUGUUUUUAUGAAGUUCUAUAGGCAUUUCGUCAAGUUGGGACCAUAUGACAAAUCUGCCAAUUUAAGCUCAAAUAUGAAUUGUUUAUAGGUGCGUACCAGCUGUGUAUAUAUAGUGUUUGUGAAGCUUAGGACGUAAGGAACAAAUUUCAUGAAGAAACUACGGGCAUUCGAGCGUUCAUUGGAAUGGUAUGUUAAGGCUAACCUUUGUCCUUCAUUUUAGCACCACUCCUGGGAAAUUCCUAAAACGCCGAAUGUGAUAUUUUUCUAUUCUCUUGCUAGAAAGACCUUCUGUGAAAGGCAUUGAGAUCUCAGCAGAAUUAUUUUCAUGAUUCUAUUAUUUUGAUAUUCCACUCGUUCGGAUAAAUAGAGUAUUUGACAUGUACAUGUCAUUUUAUCGGUUUCCUUGAUUGUAUGUACGCAUGUAUGAAUUCCUAUUCUUCUUUUUAAAAUAUUACGGGAGACCCUUAUUAUUUGUAACCAGCCCUUUUUCCCCACUAAAGUUAUUAUGAAAAAUCUUUAAAGUAACUCACGAUCUUCAAAACUCCCAAAUAUAACUUAAAUGUUUAAACUAAUAGAAUACUUGAUUUUUGAAAUACUUCUUUUAUAAAUUAUCUAGGAACAAAGUAUAGGAACUAAGUAAAUCACCUUAAACUUAUUAUGAAUAUCUGCAAGGUUAAGUUAUCUUUCUAAAAUUCGAGUGAAGUUUUCAAGCUUAUUUGGAAGAACAUAUGAGGUUCCAUGAGAUGGUUACAUGUCAUAGGAAAGUGAUUACGGGGUUAUGAGAACACGACUACAAAUGGGCAAAGAUUGGCAACAUGACAACGAUAACAUAUAUGUGAUAAAUCUACAACAUGACAUGCUAUGCAUUCUACUCCCGAGCUAGAAUUGGGAGAUAUGGGGCCUAUUGCCUAUAUUUAUACAUAUGAGACACCGAUGGCCACAGGUUGGCGAAUAUGAUGUCGGUUAGCUACCGGGAAGCACCACCAUUGCAACCAUUUGGUUGGGUAUGUCAUGCAUUUGCAACUAUACAUAUGUAUUCACGACAUAUGAUUAUACGAGCAUACCGUGCAUAUUUAAAUAGUAAGAGGCUAAAUGUCAGCCAUAGAGAUUAUUUGAUUUUCAGUUUUAGGUGGUAUCUUUGUUACCCUUUUACAGUAAAUAUCUAUGAUUUUACUUUCCAUUUUACAUAUCAGUACAUUUAUAUUCGUACUGACAUCCCAUUGCCUGGGACGCUGCUUUUUGUUUCGUGCGAGCAAGUUCAGUCAAGGAUUCUGAUCGACCCACCCACUAGGAUUCGGGUUCAGCUAUGAGUUAGUAAGCUCUGUCUUAUCCUGGGCUAUCAUAGGAUGGUUACUUUUGUUGUACAGUUUAGGUAUAGUCGGGGCCUUUCCCGACAGUGCUUAUGUCACUCAUAGAGGCUAUUGUGGACAUAAUAUUGUGGGUUUUCUUUUGUAGGUUUCAAUCUCCAGCCCAUUGACUUGGCAUGUAUAUAUACGUGUGUGUAAGUAGGUAUGUAUUCAGUUGUGGCCUCAUCGUCUAGCUAUAAAUCUUAAUUUUUGGCUUGUCUACCAUUGUUUGUAUGGUUUAUUCUCAUUCAGGUCAUGACCUUCAGGGUCCAGACUUCACUUUUCAGAAGUUGUGCUGCCCAAUCAUUUUGUCUCAUAGUUUGGUUAGUUAGUAUGUUUUAGUGGGUAACUCGAUUGAAAAGUCAUUUUUGGUAAGAAAUUGUAAGGAAACACACUUAGCAUGAAUCGUGGGAUAUUUUCCUUUUUUAAAUUGAUUUGUUGCUUCUAUUAAGGGAUUAAUUUGUCAUACCCCGAGCCUACACCCUGAACGUGGCCAACACUAUAGAACUAUUUCUGAUUCCUAAGCAAACUGUUGGCUUGGCUAAAUACUUAGCGGAAGACUCACUCAAGCAAUAAUAGUCUUAAAAUAGAAGUCAAUCUCAAAGUAGAAAGUACUCAUUGUUAUAAUUAAGACUAUUUGCAAAACAUCACAAAAUAAAAUGAAAAUAUUAAGAGACUCCUCAACUCUAACUAUCUAUAAAGCCUCUCAUACUAGGAUAGAUGUCGGGACAAGACCUACGACAACUCAACAAUAACAAAAAAUAAAUGUGAAAUUCUCUGGAAAGCAAGGAGGCUCACCAAAGCUAUUUGAAGCGCAAUGUGAUCUCAACGGCAUGCCUAUUGGUGAUCUUGAAAACCUAUAUCUGCAUCAUAAAAGAUACAGGUCGAAUUAUAUGUGUACAUUUGAAUGUACGAUUAUUUAAUAUAGCCGAGGCGAAAUAACUGAAAGAAAGAACUACAAUAGGUAUAACAUAAACUCAACCGAAUGCAAAGAAUUAAAGGAAUGAAACCAUUUCACUUUACAAUAUACUUUCUCAUUCUCUUAUCUUUAACAUCAUAAGUGAUAUAUAAAAAUACACUUUAACUCUAUUAGGAGAUUCUCUAACUGACAACCAUCACUAAGAGCUAAGUGAUGAUACAACGUCUUAUCUAUGCUGCCAGAAUUGUCUUAUAUCGUGCCGGAAUAUAGAACACCUCAACUAAAUGGAUCCACUAAGAUCUGCCCGAAGGCACUAAGGAUUCAUCUAAAAAAUAUGAUAUUGUACCCAUGUUGGCAAAACAUGGUUUAUGAGGGAUGUGAGUUGUACAAACUUUCCCCCCAUAUCGGUGCUCAAUACUGCUCCCAAUAAUAUAUACUAUUUCUCAAAUGUAUAAAAAUGUUACUCUUUCUCUGUUUUGAGAUAAUUGCUCAAAUUAUCCUCUUAAAAGAGGUAACUACUCUGAACUGUCUUUGAAACACAUUUCUCAUUUAGAAAACAAGAUUUCUAUUUGCUUAAUGUAAAAAUACAUUCUGAAUUGAGUUAAUUACUCAAAAGGGGCCUCUUUAAGAGGUAAGUACUUAAUUUUUCUGAAAACUCUUUUAACUUUUCUCAAAAAAAGUCUACUCUUUUGUUUCAUGUAAAAAUGAAACAUUUGGGAAAAUACUUAGUUCCCUUAUACUCUCUCUCUCAAACUUAGUUUAAACAAUGAUGUUUUGGUUAAAGGAUUCUCAAUAAGAAUUCACUGAAUACUCAACAUAGGGUUCAUACUGAAAAAUAGUCAUGAACAAUCAACUCAAUAAUCACAAUUCACGUUGUAUGACAAUUCAAUAAUUAGGAAUAGGAAUUCAAAACUCAAUAUCAACUCAUUUCAAGAAUACUUAAAACUAAGGAUAGAACCCUAGAUUACUCUUUUACUGACUUAAAAGUAGAUGUAGGGCAUGAGGACGAACUAGUUCAACACUAAGAUAGCCUUAGAUACAUGGAAGAACAAGCUCUUUCGGAAUCGAAGAAACUUGACAAAACGCUUGAACCCUAGCUUUUCUCCCCUUGGAACCUUGAUCUAAUGUCUUGAAGUGUUAGUGAAUGUAAAAGAGCUUAUUAACACUUUUCAAGCCCUUAAUUAAGUCUAAAACAUCGUGAUUUAGGCUUAGAAUAGGGGUUAAAAUGAAGUAGUUUAAGUACCAAACACAUAGGGGAAAGACCAAAACUACCUCAACUUUUAAAACUAAAAACGUGCCUCAAACGGGAGGUUUCACGAACCAUAUGAAGCUUCACGGUCCGUGAAAAUCUUCAUGGUCCGUCUAGUGGGUCGUCAAGUUGCACCUACCCAAUAGGGCUUCACUAAAACGGGCAUCAUAACAUCUUGACAUGAGGCAAACUUGGUGGAGUUGGAAAGAAGACUCAAAGACCUUCAAUUUGAUAGGUCAUGGGCCACCUAAUUCAUUUUGUGCUGAGAGAUAUGAUUCUUUGAAGUUGACCCAAAACUCAAAAACUUAUGGGUGACUUGUACGACACCUAAACCGACCGUGCAAGUCACCACAGGCUAUCUAGGUGAUCGUAACCUUGGCAGCCUUAGACAGUCCUUGACUCUUCUAAUUCGACUCUUUUAAUGUUUUUCUUUUUUCCUUCUCAUUCGACUCUUCUAAAUAUUUUUGGUGGGAGUAAUGACUAUUUUCGGCAAGCUAAAUUUGAAGAAUAUGAAAUAAAACCUACUAUAAAUAAAAGUAAUAUCCUAAGCUACAAAAUAUAUGUCUAUUAACAUAGAUUUGUUGGCCUUCAUGUCCCAAGUCAUUGCUGAGCAUUUGAGUUAUCUAGGUUAGACCCAUUUUUUUAUUUUUUUUCAUGUACGAAAUAUUUCUUUAACAUGAGUCUAGAAUCCAACAUUUGAUCUACUUGUACUUUCAUAAUUCAACAUUUAUACGUACAUAUUUCUGAAAAAAGUCGUAAAGUUUCAUUGAUGAAGCAUUUAGAAAGGCAUUCAGAGCAACAGUUUGAUGAAGAAUGAAUUUCUAAAAGGGUCAACAAUUUAUUUUGUUGUUGUUUCAAAUUUAUUUUUCUCCUUCUAUAAAUUUUGUUAGAGUAACAAAGUAACAAUAACGAAAAGUGAUGAACGUUGGACCUCAGACAAGUAGAUUGUCUCUAAAACUUCAUCGCUACAUAAAAACAUCACUCAAUUUUAACAAGACAAUUAUAUUAGCAAACAUAUAUUAUGAUAAAUUAUGUAAAAGAUAAAAAUGAUUAGAUAUCAAGAUAUUUUUAAUCAUUCAUUUAAUAUUUACAAUUCUUGAAAUAUGUGAUAAUGUCAAAUCAUUUAAUUUCUGUUGAAAUGUUCUUAAAACCUACUAAAAUUCACUUUUUUUCUUUCUUAUAAUAGUCAAUUUUUGAAAAGGUUGUUCAAAAGCUUAGAAAGAUUAUUUAUGCCCACGCGAAGCGCGGGUAAAUUACCUAGUUUCCUUAAAUUUUAAUACAUUUUUAUUGUGGAAUAAGAUUUCUUUAUAUUUUAAUACAUUUUUCUUAAAUUUUAAUACAUUUUCCUUUUGAAAUAAGGUUUUAAUUGAAAAAAAAAAUCCUUAAAUUUUUUAAUAUUAUUUCCUUGUGGAAUAAGAUUUUCUUAUAUUUUAAUACAUUUUUCCUUUGUGGAAUAAGAUUUCUUAAAUUUUAAUACAUUUUCCUUUUGGAAUAAUGCUUUCUUUCUCUAUAAAUAGGAGACCCAUUUACCCAAAUUAUAUCAUAAUAUUAUUAAAAAUAAAAUCUCUAUAAAUCAUCGUUUUUUUAAAAAAAAAUUAUUAUUCAAAGUUUGGACCCCCUUCAAAAAAUUUAUGGCUACGCCAAUGCAUAAGCAUAGUUAAAUGCUUGCACAGGGACCUCAUCGAGAAAACAAACACAUGAGGAAUUGAAGCGUUAGCAUGUGGUGACUUUAUGAAUGCACAACUUAGUUACAUAUUAUCAUAAUGUAAAAGUUGGACAGUGACCGAUUCUAACCAUCAACUUAGCUAAUUUUGAACAACAAUCCACAAUAUAACAACAAGCUUUGGAAAAAAAAAAGAUAGAGCAAAACAAAACAGAACUUAGAGCAAGAUUAAACUAUAUGAAACCCAACGAAUUAGCGACUAACAUCUAAACCAAAGCUUCAAACAUGACAUACUGAACAAUAGGACAAAAACACAAAAUUUGAAAAACUGGAGAAGACGAACUGCUACAUCAACAAACAAUAGAUAAUACGAACAACUAUUUCAUCAGCGAGAAGAGUAACACUUAGCCAUAUUAAAAUGUUAAAACCAUAGGGAAAUCAGAAAAUAAACAGAGGCAACAUGAUCACAAAAAUUGAAAAUUUUGAAACAACAAUAUCACAAGAUGAAGAAGAACUCAGCAAAGGGAAAGGGAUAUUACCUUUAUUUGGGCAGGAACUGGUACAACGAUCUUGAAGGUGACUAACUCACACCACCAAUCGAGAUGAGCUCCGGUGAAUUGCUUGGAAAUAACAGAAAAAAGGUCAUUUUCCUCUACAAAAUCUUAAGCCUCAAAUGCUAUUUUAGCUAUCCAACCCUUCUUUUCAAAAAUCCCCCUGAUAAGUCUUAAUGCUCCCAGAUGUUUUGAUGAUCUCCUCACAAGUGCAAGGACCUGGUCCUCUGUAGAGUAUGCUCGUCCAGGGUCAUAUGUUGUACAGAUGGAAAGAUGUUUGCGUCAAAAAGUUGGUGAAGUCGCCAGUGUACUACACCAACCAGAAUUGACGAGGUCGUUUGUCCAAAGGGUAUUAACUCUUGAUGUUUGAUAUAUUCAAGACAAAAACAACCAACAACUCAUUCAUUCAAAGAGAGAUAUUCAAGCUUCAAAAUAGCAGGGACCUGAUAGAUUGCAUUAUUGUUUCAUGUACCAACUGUUGCUUUUGACUGCUUGUAAUUGUGUGUAUAUUGUAGGAAUCGUUUCGCUUGUGAUGAAAACGUUUCAAUCUUGGGUGAAUCAUUGUAAGAACUUAGUUAUGGGUAACUUAGUGUCUUACGUCAAAGUCUAUAUUAAUCAGUUAGGUUAGUAUAGUGGGCAGUGUUGUAUCUGGUUAGGCUCGUUUAAGUAAUAAGUGGUAUUACUUAGUGUGGAGAUUACCAGGUUAAUCCUAUGUUGUAAAUUGUGUUUUACUUUUUCUUGUGAAUUUUAGUAAAAGCAGUUUGAAAAUCCCUGUGAGACAGGUCGUGGUUUUACUCCCUUGAACAAGGAGGUUUCCACGUAAAGUUAUGUGUGCAAUCUUUACUUUCAGCAUUUAUUUACUUUCUGUUAUUGUAAUCAUGUUGAGGACCUGGUCCUGUCGUAACUAGUGGACGCAUACAUUCCAAUAAGUGGUAUCAGAGAUUGACUGUUCGAUUUGGGUAAUACCAAGAAAAGAAAAGAUCCUGAAGGAAUGGCUGCUCCACGCAAUAUUGAAGAAGGUCAGUCAUCUACCAGACCACCCCGCUUCAAUGGACAAUACUAUUGCCGCGCCCCAUUUUUCUCAAAACGGACUUUUGACCUAACAACUCUUUUGGGCUUUUGGGUAGAUUGAAGAGUCGUCACCUAACGAAUUAAGGCGCGUUAGGGAACCUAUCUAACCUAGCUAAAUCUAACUACGGUCAAUGAACCAGAGAUCAGGGUAAGGGUUCAAAUUACCUCGAGGGAAAUGUGUUAGGCAUCCCUCGAGGUCCACAAAUGUGGGUCCCAGCAGUAUCUCAUGCAAUUUAUGUGGGGGUUACAAGUAGCAAUUAAGGUCACUUCAUUUAUUUAGGCUAUUUAAAUUAAACGUGCUUACUAAGUGAUAACAUAAUAUUUAACAAUUAAAAUUACUUCAUUUAAUUAAUUAAACAUGCAAAAACUAGGUGAUAACAUAAUAUUUAACAAUUAAGAUUACUUCAUUUAAUUAAUUAAACAUGCAAAAACUAGGUGAUAACAUAAUAUUUAACAAUUAAGAUUACUUCAUUUAAUUAAUUAAACAUGCAAAAACUAGGUGAUAACAUAAUAUUUAACAAUUAAGAUUAUUUUAGUUAUUUAAUUAAUUAGUUAAUCAUGCAAAACUAAGUACUAAUAUAAUAACAAAUAAAUAUUAAACAACUAAUAAAGAGAUAAGCGAGGACACAGAAAUUACACAAGUAAAUAAGCAAACAAUUUUUUAUAUUUUAUUUAAGCUACCCCAAACAAUUAUAAUUAUAAACAAAUAAAGGGACAAAAGGAAAGGGAGACUCUGAAGGACUUUACGGAUCAGCGCUCGGCUUUAAUUUUGAGACAGACAAAACAAAUGUUUGUCGUUUACGGCUUGAGGCAAUGUCAUCAUCUCCGUAGGGCCUAGACUACCCCUACCCCAGCACCACAUGCUUUUCGUCUUUAAAAGGUGCCUAGCGUCCCCGCUUAAGGUCCAAGAGGCAUUGGACUACUAUUAGGGGGUUUUAGACUUAAAUAAAAUAAAGGUUCCUAAUAGGCCCACCUAGACACCAAGUCAAACAAUUUGGACAAGCAUUUAGCACAUAGAGUCUCAUAUUGACCUCUAGAUUUUAUUUAGCAUGCUAGCAAACACACAUAAGGUGAAAGGUCUCAUACUAAGGUGUGUGAAUAUAUAAACAAGUAUUGCAGCAGUAAAAUUACUUAAUUAAGAGUGGCAAAAAUUAUUACAGAAUGCAGAUUUAAUUGAUUUUAAAAUAUAACAGAAAAGUGAUCAACAUAUGAAAAAUCAUUUUAGAACAGUAGCAGAUUUUAUUUAAUUAUUGGCACAGAUCGGUCAAGAAUAAAGGCAUAUAUUUUUAAAAACAGGGGCAGAUUCAAUUGGUAAUUAUUCUCCACAUGGACAAAUUAAAGAUGUGCAUAGAAAUAUUUAUUUUACUUGGCAGGACAAUGUUCAAAAAUGCAGAAGAUAAUUAGAUCAGGCAGAUUUUAUUUCAGAUUUAAGAUCAGACGAUUUACUAUGCUGGUUUCUCUUUAAUAUGCAGAAAACAGUCAUACAAAUUGAUUUUAUUUAGUUAUGACAUGCUUGGAAUAGUUGGUUAAUUUUAUCUCAAGUGGCACAACAUGAAUGUAGUGCAGAAAUGAUUUAACAAUGAGCAAAACAUAUUUGCAGAUUCAUCUUAUUUUUUUAAACAUGUUGGACAUUAUUUAAUAGCUCCUAUGAACAUGAUUUCUAAGUGAUUAAUAUACUGACAAAUAUAAACUAAAUAAUUAACAUGCUGCAAUUUAUUAGAUCAAAUUAGCAUAUCAAUCUAAUUAAUUGAGUCCUAUAGGCAUGAUCUUCUAAGUAAUGGCACAAAAUCUACAACAUGUAGGCAUGCUUUCUAUACCAAAAUAACAUAUUAAAAAUUAUUUAACCCCUAUAGGCAUGAUAUCUAAAAUGGCAGAACAUUCCAAUACAAAAAACAAAUUCAUGCUGGAAGUAGUUAGUUACAUUAUUUUAAGUGGCAAAGAUAUAUUACAGAUUCAGAAAAUACUAACAGUUAGCAUAAACCAAUCGUAUCAGGGUUGUUUCAGUUAUUUAGAAUGCUGGAAAUAACAAGCUGAUUUGAUCAAUCUAAUUAACAAGGUCUUAUUAGUGGAAUCCUAUAGGCGGGGCUUCUAAAUAUGCAAAUGUUGAAGUUGUGAUUGAUCCUAUAGGCAUGAUUUCUAUAUAGAGAUAUACUAAUUGUUUAAACAAACAUAUAGGCAUGCUUUUCUAAAUGGGCUAAUGCCGAAAUUAAUUAGUAAAGCUGACAUUAACAAUUAUGACAAGAUCCAUACUAAAAAAAAGUCAAGCUUACUCUUUUAAAUUCAUUAGCAUGCUGAAAAAGUUAUUAAACCUAUAAAAGUUAAGAUCUAGGUUAUUAACAUUUACUAAAGUUAGCCAACUCUUAUUGAUUCAAGCUACUUGAUUAAUAUACUAACAAGACAAACAAAUUGUUGAUUUUAAGUAGAUUAUUUACACGAUUCCGACAUGUUGCCUAUUCUAAUGAUUUUAGUAAUAGACAGAUUAUCUAUAACAAUCACACAUAACAAAAUAAACAAAGAAAACAGUUGGCACAUAUAUCCCCCUCCCCUUAGACGAUCCCCAAAUACAUUUUAUAUAUAGAGAGUUAGAGAGUUACUAUAAGAUUAUUAUAGAACCAAAAUAGAAAAUAAUACAAAUAUUAUGAAUAAACUUAUAUCUUGUCCAAUGACCCAUCCUAGGCGACUCUUCAAACUUGAACCCAAGUCUGAACCUGCUAAAGUGAGAUGCAGACAAAUACAACAAUAAAGAGCAAUAUACUAUAAUGAAGCGAGCAUACUAAUUAUGGGAAAAUUCAUCAUAUGCGCAUAUUUAUUUCAUACAUCUGGUUAAAAUAAACAGACAAGCACUUAGAGAAGUAAACAAUCAAUAAAUAUAAUAUCACACAAAGUGAGGGAAGAACGAAAACUGACUUGCAUGUCUCCUCUUAUCCCUUUCGAACUUAUGCAUAAAACUAAAUGCAUAAUGAUGCAGAAACUAUAUAUAUAUAUAUANNNNNNNNNNNNNNNNNNNNNNNNNNNNNNNNNNNNNNNNNNNNNNNNNNNNNNNNNNNNNNNNNNNNNNNNNNNNNNNNNNNNNNNNNNNNNNNNNNNNNNNNNNNNNNNNNNNNNNNNNNNNNNNNNNNNNNNNNNNNNNNNNNNNNNNNNNNNNNNNNNNNNNNNNNNNNNNNNNNNNNNNNNNNNNNNNNNNNNNNNNNNNNNNNNNNNNNNNNNNNNNNNNNNNNNNNNNNNNNNNNNNNNNNNNNNNNNNNNNNNNNNNNNNNNNNNNNNNNNNNNNNNNNNNNNNNNNNNNNNNNNNNNNNNNNNNNNNNNNNNNNNNNNNNNNNNNNNNNNNNNNNNNNNNNNNNNNNNNNNNNNNNNNNNNNNNNNNNNNNNNNNNNNNNNNNNNNNNNNNNNNNNNNNNNNNNNNNNNNNNNNNNNNNNNNNNNNNNNNNNNNNNNNNNNNNNNNNNNNNNNNNNNNNNNNNNNNNNNNNNNNNNNNNNNNNNNNNNNNNNNNNNNNNNNNNNNNNNNNNNNNNNNNNNNNNNNNNNNNNNNNNNNNNNNNNNNNNNNNNNNNNNNNNNNNNNNNNNNNNNNNNNNNNNNNNNNNNNNNNNNNNNNNNNNNNNNNNNNNNNNNNNNNNNNNNNNNNNNNNNNNNNNNNNNNNNNNNNNNNNNNNNNNNNNNNNNNNNNNNNNNNNNNNNNNNNNNNNNNNNNNNNNNNNNNNNNNNNNNNNNNNNNNNNNNNNNNNNNNNNNNNNNNNNNNNNNNNNNNNNNNNNNNNNNNNNNNNNNNNNNNNNNNNNNNNNNNNNNNNNNNNNNNNNNNNNNNNNNNNNNNNNNNNNNNNNNNNNNNNNNNNNNNNNNNNNNNNNNNNNNNNNNNNNNNNNNNNNNNNNNNNNNNNNNNNNNNNNNNNNNNNNNNNNNNNNNNNNNNNNNNNNNNNNNNNNNNNNNNNNNNNNNNNNAUAUAUAUAUAUAUAUAUACAAGUCACUAACCGGUUAAGCAGUUAAAGAAAUAUCAGCAAUGAAGAACCCUUAAUCCAACUUUCGACCCGUACACAGCAAAAUAGCAAGUAUAGAGGAGCUUUAAUGUUUACCAAACAAAACCUUAAUUCUAUUUUAAAGAGUAGAGAGCAAUAUUUUUUAGUAUUCAAGUAUGAGCAAAGUCAAGAUGUCUGAGUCCCUAAACAAUGAAAGGGAGCCUUGUUUAUAUACUAACUGAGAGGGGCACGGUAAUAAGGGAAGAAAUAAUCAAGGAGCCAAUUAUAACAUGUUUUCCUUAAACAAAAGGAGUAUAAAAUCAGUCCCGUAUUUAUUUAUUCUUUUUACCAAACAUAAACAAGUAAGAAAUCUGCCUACUUUUAAUUAAGGUAAGGAAAUCAAUUGAGAAGUCACUAUUUUUACCAAGUUCAAAUUUACGGACAGUCACCAUACAAAUUGACAAAAAUAAAUAAAUAUCGAAGGAAGGGAAUAAAUUUGGGAUCACUUACGCACUAUCAUUACACGCCUUAUUAAUUUUAAGACUUACCAUAUUCAACUUUCAAACAAGGAAUUCAAAUAGUUAAAUAACCUGUAAGUAAGCUAUAAUAGCUCAACUAUUAAUGCUAUAUACCAAGCAACUAAGGGAAAUACAAUUAUACGCAUGACAAUAUCAUAUGCAAUAACAUACUGAAUCCAAAGCCAUAUCAAUUAGUAAAUCCAUUUAUGCUCUAAUUGGUUUAAACGUGCAAAUUGCUUCUAAAUUGAAUGAGAAUCAACACUCAGAUUAAUUAAUGGGUUAACUAUCAAGAUUAACAAAUGUAACCAAGGUAACUGGCAAAUUCAAAGACAAGUGCGAGAUAUCCAUAUUAAUCUUGAGAAGAACAAUGGAGCGUAUGAAUUUCGAGAAGAAAAUACCAUUAGAAAAAAAAUAAAAAUCGAUAAAAAUUAAUUUAAGCUAUUUUAUAUUAACAAGUAAAUAUUUGAUGAGUUGUUUCAUGAAUAACAACAAACUAUAAAUAAACAUAGAAUAGACAUUUAAAGGGGCGCACCUGGACGGAUCCUUAGCUAAAUUCGGAAAAUUUACCGGAGCUUCUAGCUUGUUUCUUCGUACUCAUGGCUGUUGGUCGGAGUUACUGUUUCUCUCACCGGAAAAAGGAAGGCAGUGGAGCAGCAUUGGCUGCUGGCUGUUCUCGCCGGUGAUUGCUGGUCGCUGGUGGCUUCGCCAGUCACUGUUGAUUCUGGUGGUCCUCGCCAUUUGCUGGCUGUUGUUGUCACUGGCUGGAGCUGUUGUUGUUGUUGUUGUUGUUGUCGUCGACUGGAGCUGUUGUUGCUGUUGUUGUCGCCGACUGGAGCUACUUGAGGCGCUGGCUCUCGAGUUGCUGUUCCACCGGUGGUCCUCGCCGGCUGCUAGUCAGACGGGGAGAAAAAAGAGAUGGAGAAGAAGGGAGGAGAGGGGAAGGGAGAGAGAGAGAGGCGGCUGCCACCAGCAAAUGGUGGUGAUUACUGUUCUCGUCUCUGGCGACUGUUGGUCACCUGGAAUCUCGCCGGCUGCUUGUUGGUUUUCAUCAGAGGAGACGGGUGAGAAGAGAAGAGAGAGCAGUGGCGCUAGAGAGAGAGGAAGAGUGAAUAAAUUUUAGGGUUUUGAUCUCUUAGAACUAAAAUAGGAAAGGUUAAAAGGAUUGAUCUCGUCUAUUGAUUUAAUAACAGAUGAAGGGCUAGGAUUUGAUCUUAGGUUUUAACUAAAGGAUAGACGGUUGAGAUUAAAAGAUGAAAUUUUAAAAUCAGAUUGAAUUGAAUUUGGAAUGGCCAAAAUUGCAAUAGAAUUGGCUAGGAUUGAAAUGAAAGGGUGGCUAUAAUUGAAAUACAAUUGGAAUUGAAUAUGCUAGAUUUUAAAGGAAUGAGAAUAAAAUAGGCUAACAUUUAAACGAUUUUGAGGAAACUAAGAAGAUGCUAUUCGAUUAAUAAAAUACUACAUAUAUUACAACAUUUUUGUAUAAUUAAAAUAACUUAAAUUUUAAAAUAUUUGAAUAAAAUAAUUACUUUUAGUUUUACUAAUAAUUUUAAAAAUAUUUUAAUAAUUUUAUAAAGAGAGCAUACUAAAAUGUACAAUUUUUAGACAAAAUCGACUAAAAUUUUAGAACUCAAAAAUAUAUUCAAAAUAAAUAUUUAAUCGAAUAGCAUUCCCAAAAGGGUUAAAGGUCGGUCAAAAUUGGGUAUCAACAACUAUGGGUGGUGGAAGAAUCGCAUACAUGAUUACAUCAAUGCUGAAGACACUGAGUUGUGGGACGUGAUUCUUGAUGGACCGUACAUUCCCACAAAGAAGGUGAAAGAUGGAGAGCUCACCACAACAGCUAUCAAAACCAGAAAGGAGUACAAUGAAACGGACAAGAAGAAGAUAGAGAAGAAUUAUAAAGCAAAGAAGAUUUUGGUAUGUGGAAUCGGGUCAGAUGAGUACAACCGAAUCUCUGCCUGUGAGACAACCAAGGAGAUAUGGGACUAUCUUCAAAUAGCCCAUGAGGUAACAACACAAGUGAAUGAGUCUAAGGUCGAUAUGCUUAUGACUCAAUAUGAGAACUUGUGUAUGAAGGAAAGUGAAACUAUCUUCGAGAUAAACUCAAGAUUCACCUCCAUAACCAACGAACUGAGAUGCCUUGGUGAGCCUAUUCCCCUAAGCAAACAAGUUCGGAAGAUUCUCAAAGUACUUCCCAAGUCAUGGGAAAGCAAAGUGAAUGUUAUAACUGAAGCAAAAGAUCUGAAGACUCUUUCCAUGGAUGAACUGAUUGGAAAUCUCCAAACCUAUGAGUUGAACAAGCAACAGGGGACAAACAUGAAUGAGGAAAACAAGGAGAAAUCAGUUGCUUUGAAAACAUCUCAAAACGAUGUGACUGAAGAGGAGGACGAAAUGGCAUAUGUUACUAGAAGGUUUCAGAAGAUUAUCAAGAAGCAUGGAGGCUUUCAAAAGAAAGCUUCGACCAGCAGAGCAGCAAAUGCAAAUGAUCUUUGUCAUAAAUGUGGCAAACCUGGUCAUUUUAUGAGGGACUGCCCCAGCCAGAAGCAGGAAACUCGGGACUUCAGACCUCGCAGAAGGGACCAAGUCCUAGACCAUGCCAAGAGUAAAGCUCAUGCUGAUCAACUGGUAAAGAAAGCAUUGGCUGUAUGGGGAAACGUAUCUAGCGAGUCCGAGGAAGAGACAGAUAGUCCAGAAGAUGUCUCGAUGAUGGUUGUGGAAGAUGAUGAAACUGUCUACAAUUCUAUUUUUUCAUUAAUGGCAAAUUCUGAUGAUGAAGAGGAUCUGAAUGAGGUAACCCUUUCUAAUCUCAAGGAUGAUCUAGAUACUCUUCCCAUUAAUAGAUUGAGAAAACUUGUUGCUCUAUUAAUUGAUUUAGUUGAUGAACUAACUUCUGAAAAUUUGAUGAUGAGUGAAAAGCUGAGUUUGUGUGAGGAUGAAAACGCAGCUCUCAAAUGUCUAAAAUGUCUAAAAUGAGUGUUAGGAUAGGUAUCCUUGAGACUGGUAGUCUGGAAUCUAACAAGGAACCUGGUACCUCUAAGGGUGGGAAGUGAAAACUCAGUAACUUUAAGGUUGAACUAGAAGAGAAACUUAAGACCUCUGAGUCUAAGUUAGUUGCCUCCCUAGAAAGGAAUUCUCAACUAGUGAAGGAUCUAUGUAAGAUCAAAGAAGAGUUGAACCACUCCCUCAAAUGGACUGAUUCGUUUAAGAUACUCUCUAACUUGGCAAAUCAGAAGUUCAACAACAGAAAGGGUUAGGUUGUAGACAGAUAGAGCCUCCCUACAAUCCUCAUAGUAAAUUUGUGUCUGUCUCUGACAACCUUUUGUGUACCCACUAUGGAAAAAAUGGUCAUCUGAAAGAAAAUUGUGAGAUUUUGAGAGGAGUAAAAGAAAGGCAGGAGAAGUUUCUUAAAUUAAGAAAGGUUUUUGAAAAAAAGAAAAAGGUACCUAGUCCCAGUUACCACUUUAGCAAGAACACUUUACCCCCAUGGACAGGAAGGUUUCUCAUUAAGCCUUUUGACAGUUUUAGGGAACUCCAUUUGAAGUGGGUUCCUACGUCUAAUAAGUGAUUUUGUGCAGAAAAUAGGAAGCAGUCAAUGCUGGUACAUGGAUAGUGGAUGCUCAAGGCACAUCACUGGAGACACUUUAAACUUCCUCUCUUUGGAAGCACACCAAGGUGGUGGUGUGUCAUUUGGUGGUGGAAAGAAGGGUUUUAUUCUUGGAAUUGGCAAGAUAGGAAGAACAUUUGAUCACUCCAUAGACAAUGUACAUUAUGUGGAUUGUUAGAAAUACAAUCUCCUGAGUGUAUCUCAAAUUUGCGACAAGGGAAAUGAAGUCAAGUUCAUGUCUGAUAGGUGUCUGGUUACAAACUGUGCAACUAAAAGGGUUGUUUAUGUCUGCCAAAAGAGUCAAAAAUAUGUAUGUUGCAGAUCUUGACUCUAUUGAAGGGGACUGUCUUUCAUGCCUGAGUGCUCAAACUGAUGAUGCAAAUCUGUGGCAUCAGUGAUUGGUCAUGCAAGUACCUCUUUGUUGAACAAGCUUGUUGCAAGGGACUUGGUCUGUGGAUUGCCAAAGUUAAAGUUCUCAAAUGAUAAAGUUUGUGAUGCAUGUGCAAAAGGGAAACAAACAAGAUUAUCCUUCAAAUCCAAGAAAUAUGUGAGCACAACCAAACCUCUGGAUCUUCUCCACAUGGACUUGUGUGGACCUAUCAGAGUUCAAAGCAAAGGAGGUAAGAAGUAUAUUCUGGUAGUUGUUGAUGAUUUCUCCAGGUUCACUUGGAACAUGUUUCUGCGGACAAAGGAUGAGACGGUCGAACUUCUGAUCACGUUUGCCAAAGCAAUUCAACUGAAGGUUAACUGCAAGAUUGCUAGUACCAGAUCUGACCAUGGCACAAAGUUUGAGAACUCUCAAAUUGAAGACUUUUGUGCUGAAAAUGGAAUUAAUCACAAUUUAUCCGCACCAAGGACUCCUCAACAAAACGGAGUUGUUGAAAGGAAGAACAAAACAUUGGUGAAUAUUGCUAGAACCAUGCUGAUUGACUCAGGACUAGAAAUGAGUUUUUAGGCAGAAGCAGUCAACACAACAUGCUAUGUUACUAACAUGUGUCUUAUCAGUUCUAUGAUCAAGAAAACACCUUAUGCGUUGCUCAACAAUAGGAAACCUUCAAUUGCUCAUUUGAAACCAUUUGGUUGCAAAUGCUUUGUACUGAACAAUGGAAAGGAUGACAUUGGAAAGUUUGAUGCCAGGAGUGAUGAAGGCGUGUUUGUUGGGUACUCUUUUACCAACAAGGCAUACAUGGUUUUUAACAAAAGAACUCUAUGUGUUGAUGAGAGUAUGCAUGUGAAAUUUGAUGAGUUUGAGAGAAAUGAUGAACACAAAGAAGACCCUGAUUUGGAUGAUCUGAUCAAGGGAAAACAGGACAAUGGAAUCCAAAAUCCUAGAAACAAACAGGUUGCGAAAGAAAUUGAUGCAGAACUCACAGAAUAACCUAGUCCCUCUGGUUCAGCCUAUGAGAUAUUAUCUCAAAAUCCAGAAGGUGAGGAAGGUGAAUCUGAUGUUGAUGUGAAAGAAGAGAUAACCAGAAAUUUUGGAUGGAACCAUCAAUCCUCAGAUCCACUGGACAAUCUCAUCUCCCCACUUGAUUCAGGAAUACAAACUAGAUCCAAAACAAGAAAUUUGGUUGCAUAUUCAGCCUUCAUAUCAUCCAUUGAGCCUAAGAAUAUCAAAGAGGCUUUACAGGAUGCAGAUUGGGUAACAUCAAUGCAGGAAGAUCUUCAUCAGUUUGAGAGAAGCAAGUGUGGCACCUGGUCCCCAGACCACUCAACAGAACCAUUAUUGGGACAAGAUGGGUUUUCAGAAACAAACUUGAUGAGCAUGGGAUCAUCACCAGAAACAAGUCAAAACUUGUGGUGCAGGGAUACAAUCAAGAAGAGGGGAUUGACUAUGACGAGACCUUUGCUCCUGUAGCCAGAAUGGAAGCUAUUAGAAUCCUGAUAGCCUUUGCCGCCCACAUGGAGUUUAAACUGUUUCAAAUGGAUGUCAAGAGUGCCUUCUUGAAUGGGAAUUUGAAAGAAGAGGUGUAUGUCAAAUAGCCUCCAAGUUUUGAAGAUGCUGCCAAAUCAUGUACUAAAGUUGGAUAAAGCUUUGUAUGGUUUAAAGCAAGCUCCCAGAGCUUGGUAUGAGCGCUUGUCAAAAUUCCUCCUUGCAAAUGGGUCCAACAGGAGUAAAAUUGAUAAUAACUUGUUCCUAAAAUCUAGAGGUAAGGAGUUGUUGAUUGUGCAGGUAUAUGUCGAUGACAUCAUCUUUGGAGCUACUUCAAAUUCACUGUGCAAAGAGUUACUGAUUUGAUGAGUAGUGAAUUUGAAAUGAGCAUGAUGGAGGAGCUUACUUUCUUCCUAGGAUUGCAAAUCAAGCAGUCUCCUCAGGGCACUUCUAUAUGUCAAGAGAAGUAUAUAAGAAUUGCUCAAAAAGUUCAAUCUACUUGAGGAAAAAGUUCUUGACACUCCUAUGAGCACAAGUGUGAAACUUGAUCUGGAUGAAGAUGGUGUUGAGGUUAAUCAGACCAUGUAUAGGGGAAUUAUUGGGUCACUUCUGUACCUCACUACAAGCAGGCCUGACAUAGUCUUCAGUGUAGGGAUGUGCGCAAUGUUUCAAGCAGCGCCAAAGGAGUCACAUUUGAAGGCAGCCAAGCGAAUUCUGAGUACCUGAAGGGAACUCAGGACCUGGUCCUCUUCUAUCCAACGGGUGAUUCGCUUGAUCUAAUUGGUUAUGCUGAUGUUGAUUAUGCAGGUUUUCUUGUUGAUUGAAAGAGUACAUCAGGCAUGGCACACUUUCUUGGAUCAUCACUGAUUUCUUAGGGACUAAGAAGCAAAAUUCAGUGGCACUGUCUACAGUAGAGGCAGAAUAUGUGGUUGGUGCAUCAUGUUGUGCUCAGUUCCUGUGGAUCAAGUAGCAACUGGAAGAUUUUGGUGUUCUCACAGACAUUAUCCCUCUAAUAUGCGACAACACCAGUGCAAUGAACAUGGCCAAGAAUCCUGUUCAGCAUAAAAAGACAACGCACAUAGAUGUGAGGCAUCACUUCCUAAGGGACAAUGUUGAGAAGCAAAAUGUGGUGAUGAGUUUCUGCAAGACAGAAGACCAGUUGGCUGAUAUCUUUACAAAACCCUUGAGUAAAGAAUGUUUCAUCAAAAAUAGGUUGAGACUGGGGAUGCACAAGAUCACCUGAUUCCAUGACAUGUUUGCACAAAAUCUUCCAUUUGAUUAUGUUAAGGAGGGUAGGUAUCUAUACUUAUUGUAAUGCGUAUUGUUUGAGAAUUCACUUCUGGCACCUUAAUGCAGGUAUACACUCAUGGCAUGAUGGCUGAAGGGAAGAUCUAAUCAUACAGACAGGGCUACAUACUAAAUGAGACCUGGUCCCCACGAGGUUAGUAUCACUUAUGCUACACUUUGUGUAUUUCAACGUCACUGUCACAUGUCUCUUACCCAUUCAUCGCGUUAGUUUUAGACGUCUUUUCACUUUAAAUCCAAGAGUCACUACUUUUCAGGAACCCGAUACCUCUUGGACUUAAAUAUAAACCUAACCUCUAUUAAUCCAAAAAUCUUAACCUCUUUCAAAUCUCUUUUGUGAUUUCUUAUUCGUUCCCAAAUUGCCCUUUCUUCUUCAUCAAAAUGACUAACUCAUCUUCUUCUUCAAAGCUUCCCAUUUCUUAAGAGAUUGAAAACCCUGGUUCCUUCAGUUUCUCCACCCUUUCCCCAGAAGAAUCUUCGUUGACACCAGUCUGUGGUGUUAGUGAAACGGGUGAGUCCAUCACACCUCAUACUAAAGUGGUGGCUUCUCCUACACUUCCAUCUGGGGAGAUCUUACCCUGCUCGCCUACAUUAGUUCUAUCUGGUGAGAAAUUUCAAAACACAGAAGCCCAAUCAGUCAUAAAACCAAGUGUUGACCCUUCAAUUGAAGAACUUGACGUAUUAUCUAGGGGAGUGUCUUCUACUAUGUCUGAGAGGUUAUUUGAUGGAGAUCUGCCUGAGGGAAAGAGUCCCGAGUUGAAUAUUCUAGAAGCAGGGGCAGAAUUAGUGGUUGUACAAAGUUUGGCCUCUCUUAGAGGCGAUGUUCAACCACCUUGCUGGAACAAGAGUUGAGGUCUCCGGAGUAGGUCUCUCAUAGUGUUCAACCUGUGUUUGAACAAACGCCUAGGUCAUUUGAUGUUGAUAGUGACAAGGAAGAGGAAGAAGAAGUUCCUUUGAAAUGGAGCAAAAUAGAGGUGCGAGGAGCCAACACUUUAACAGUUGGUGUCCCAGAUUCGUAAAUAGGUAGGAGUGCUCCUGAGGUUGUUCUUACUAAUGAGCCCGCUGAGUUUGCAAAGGAAAGAAAAAAA
Molecule: long non-coding RNA, 25893 nt
Filed under: Solanum tuberosum (potato)
Lineage: Eukaryota; Viridiplantae; Streptophyta; Magnoliopsida; Solanales; Solanaceae
Description: long non-coding RNA (STUB_LNC004610)
Source: RNAcentral